UCGUACCUAACCCUAGGUGAAAACCGAUGUUAAUGUUUGAUGUGUUAUUAUAUUAUAUAUUUUAUUUAUAUAAAUAUAUAUACAUCCAUUGGGCGAAAGGGAAACCGGUUCCUAUUCCGGUACCCGGCAGCGGAACCGUUAAUAAGUCGGGCCCUCGCAAGAGUGUUCGUCGGGGUAACCCAAAAAGGCCUGGAGACGCCGUCGGAAGAUCCAGGAAGAGUUUUCUUUUCUGCAUGAGCGUUCGAGUUACCCGGUAAG
Molecule: ribosomal RNA, 258 nt
Filed under: Theristria rieki
Lineage: Eukaryota; Metazoa; Arthropoda; Insecta; Neuroptera; Mantispidae
Description: partial 28S ribosomal RNA
Rfam family: Eukaryotic large subunit ribosomal RNA
Source: RNAcentral